GAAAUGCGAUAAGUAAUGUGAAUUGCAGAAUUCAGUGAAUCAUCGAAUCUUUGAACGCACAUUGCGCCCGCCAGUAUUCUGGCGGGCAUGCCUGUUCGAGCGUCAUUUCAACCAUCAAGCCCCCGGCUUGUGUUGGGGACCUGCGGCUGCCCGCAGGCACUGAAAAACAGUGGCGGGCUCGCUGUCACACCGAGCGUAGUAGCAUACAUUCUCGCUCAGGGCGUGCUGCGGGUUCCGGCCGUUAAACGACCUUCAUAACCCAAGGUUGACCUCGGAUCAGGUAGGAAGACCCGCUGAACUUAAGC
Molecule: unclassified non-coding RNA, 305 nt
Filed under: plant metagenome
Description: partial contains 5.8S ribosomal RNA, internal transcribed spacer 2, and large subunit ribosomal RNA
Rfam family: 5.8S ribosomal RNA (bases 1-105)
Source: RNAcentral